RNAcentral lists this ribosomal RNA (307 nucleotides) under uncultured Candidatus Saccharibacteria bacterium. RNAcentral describes it as "bacterial SSU rRNA". It matches the Rfam family "Bacterial small subunit ribosomal RNA", at positions 28 to 351 of the family's 1533-position model. The record is from RNAcentral. Lineage: Bacteria; Candidatus Saccharimonadota.
GAUGAACGCUGGCGGCGUGCCUAAUACAUGCAAGUCGAGCGGUAAGGCCCCUUCGGGGGUACACGAGCGGCGGACGGCUGAGUAGCGCGUAGGAACGUACCCCAAAGUGAGGGAUAAGCACCAGAAAUGGUGUCUAAUACCGCAUGUGAUCUACGGAUUAAAGCCUUCGGGCGCUUUGGGAGCGGCCUGCGUAAGAUUAGCUUGUUGGUGAGGUAAAAGCUCACCAAGGCGACGAUCUUUAGCUGGUCUGAGAGGAUGACCAGCCAGACUGGAACUGAGACACGGUCCAGACUCCUACGGGAGGCUG